RNAcentral lists this ribosomal RNA (261 nucleotides) under uncultured prokaryote. Its description in RNAcentral is "partial 16S ribosomal RNA". It matches the Rfam family "Bacterial small subunit ribosomal RNA", at positions 524 to 784 of the family's 1533-position model. The record is from RNAcentral.
GACGAACCGUCCAAACGUUAUUCGGAAUUACUGGGCUUAAAGGGUGCGUAGGCGGCUCUGCAAGUUGGGUGUGAAAUCCCUCGGCUCAACCGAGGAAUGGCGCCCAAAACUGUGGAGCUCGAGGGAGACAGAGGUGAGUGGAACUUGUGGUGGAGCGGUGAAAUGCGUAGAUAUCAGGAGGAACACCGAUGGCGAAGGCAGGUCUCUGGGCCACUACUGACGCUGAGAAGCGAAAGCAUGGGGAGCGAACAGGAUUAGAUA